RNAcentral lists this long non-coding RNA (364 nucleotides) under Homo sapiens (human). Its description in RNAcentral is "HSALNT0218255". Lineage: Eukaryota; Metazoa; Chordata; Mammalia; Primates; Hominidae. The record is from RNAcentral.
UGUUGGGAAGGUCUUUAGGUGUCUGCUCAUUGAAGCCGUCCCAGGGAAAGCCCUCAGAGGAGAUACCGAGUCCGGAGUUUCUUGCUUCCGAUGCGUUCGUGGUCUAACUUCACAAACAUACCCGCGGACCUUUGCGGCAAGUGUUACAGCUCUUAAAGACGGUGCGUCCGGAUGCUCCGGUGAGUUUGUAGUCUCACUGACUUCACGAAUAAACCCGCGGACCCUCACGGUAAGUGUGACAGCUCUUAAAGGUGAUGUGGUGAAUUUUAAAGCCCUUAAAAGUGGUAUGGACCCAAACGGUGAGCAGCAGCAAGAUUUACUGUCACGAGCAAAAUAACAAAGCCUCCGCAAUGCGGAAGACAAC